AACGAAACACGUCCUAGUCUGUUAAUCUCUGCCACAAUUUCAUUCCUCAAUUGCUCCGGAGUGAUGUAUUCUUUGCCGGAGAUAGUAUGAAGGAGAUCAAAGUCAAUGAUUUGGAGCUGAUGAAGCUUCUGGACCAAUUCGACAACAUUUCGGUCUGAUAAUCGAACAGUAGAUUUUACUUGUUGUGCAAAUUCAAAUUGUCUCUGCAAUUCCAG
RNAcentral lists this unclassified non-coding RNA (215 nucleotides) under Hevea brasiliensis (rubber tree). Lineage: Eukaryota; Viridiplantae; Streptophyta; Magnoliopsida; Malpighiales; Euphorbiaceae. The record is from RNAcentral.